Molecule: ribosomal RNA, 431 nt
Filed under: uncultured Syntrophomonas sp.
Lineage: Bacteria; Bacillati; Bacillota; Clostridia; Eubacteriales; Syntrophomonadaceae
Description: bacterial SSU rRNA
Rfam family: Bacterial small subunit ribosomal RNA
Source: RNAcentral
AAGCAACGCGAAGAACCUUACCAGGUCUUGACAUCCCUCUGAAGUAUUGCUUAGCAGCAUAUGUCCUUCGGGACAGGGGAGACAGGUGGUGCAUGGUUGUCGUCAGCUCGUGUCGUGAGAUGUUGGGUUAAGUCCCGCAACGAGCGCAACCCUUGCUAUUAGUUGCUAACAGGUAGAGCUGAGCACUCUAAUGGGACUGCCGGUGACAAGCCGGAGGAAGGUGGGGAUGACGUCAAAUCAUCAUGCCCUUUAUGACCUGGGCUACACACGUGCUACAAUGGAUGGUACAGAGAGCAGCGAGGCAGCGAUGUGGAGCGAAUCUCAAAAAGCCAUUCUCAGUUCGGAUUGGAGUCUGCAACUCGACUCCAUGAAGUCGGAAUCGCUAGUAAUCGCGAAUCAGCAUGUCGCGGUGAACUGCGUUCCCGGGCCUU